This is an RNA transcript of Ipomoea triloba (trilobed morning glory), 2255 nucleotides long. It is a transcript of the gene named ultraviolet-B receptor UVR8, with no coding region annotated. Lineage: Eukaryota; Viridiplantae; Streptophyta; Magnoliopsida; Solanales; Convolvulaceae. The record is from RefSeq and is a predicted model, not a curated record. The transcript has 7 exons.
AGCAAGAAUUAUCCAGAUUUCAAUCAUUUCCAAGAUAAAGAGAAGCAUCAUUGCUUCACUUAUUGCCUGUCAGCCAGAGAAAAUGGAGAAGUUCCCGCAAUCGUCCGCGCCACCGCUAGAUUCCCGCAAAUUGUCCAACAAAAUCACCGAAAUCGCCGCCGGCGAAGCUCACACUCUCGUUCUCACUGCGGAUGGGAGGGUUUAUUCUUGGGGUAGAGGAAUGUUUGGCCGGCUCGGCACCGGAUCGGAGUUCGACCAGCUAUUUCCAGUCAGAGUUGAAUUUGGGUCUGCACCGGUUAAAAUUGUGGCUAUUGCCGCUGGGGCUUAUCACAGUCUCGCGCUUGCAGAUGAUGGAUCAGUUUGGGGCUGGGGUUACAAUGUCUAUGGCCAACUUGGUGGAAAUGGAGAAAAUUAUUUAGCUCCUCAUUUACUGGAUGGAUUCCUUGGGUUGGGUUCCCCUAAUACAGCAGGAGAGGACUCAGAAAGGAAGACACUGAUGAUUUCUUCGGUCAAAGCUGGCGCAAUGAUGUCUGUGGCGAUUGACAGUCUUGGGGGUCUAUGGAUUUGGGGCAAUUGCCCUCAGCCACAAAAAAAUAAGUCUACUGAGGCUGAAUUCUCUCUCACCUGCACUUUUAAUCCUGUACCUGUCUGGAACUUUCAUGGACACACUGUUGUUAAGGUGGCAUGUGGAAAUGAGCAUGUUGUGGCAUUAGUGACUAUUGGAGAAACAUAUAAAGGGAAUGAUCUUGUCUGCUAUUCUUGGGGUGGCAAUAGCCAUGGCCAGUUAGGUUUGGGAGAUAGGGAGGGCAGGCUCUUUCCCGAAAUCAUCGAAGCCUUUAAUUCAGAAUCUCCUUGGACUGUAUAUGAGGUAGCAUGUGGGUCUUACCACACAGCUUUACUAGCGCAGAAAAGCCCGAGUGACAUAUUAGAAAGUGUAUGCUGGACAUUUGGCCUUGGCGAUAAUGGCCAAUUAGGUCAGGGCACUACCCAAAGUUAUUUUUCCCCUGAACCUGUGAAAGAGUUGCCAAGAACUGCAUUUCUCAUUUCUGUUAACUGUGGCUUAUUUCACACCAGUGUUGUCUCAUCAGCUGGAGAUGUAUGGUCAUGGGGAAUGGAAAGAGGCCUGGGCCUGUGCCCUGAUGCAAGGUUUAUCGGAACUGAAACGGGUGAUGCAAUAUUGCCCUUGUUGAUUCCUUGUAAUGAGCAUUAUGGGCCUAAAUUUCCAGAACCUGUUCAAGUUGUGUGUGGUGCAGCCCAUACUGUUCUCCUUGCGGAUUCGGGAUACAAGCUUUGGUCUUGGGGCAGGGGACGCAGCGGGGUCCUUGGAACUGGGCAAACAACUGAUUCUUUUGCUCCAACUGGUGCGAUGUGGCCGCCUAUAGACGAGGAUUUCAAAGAGGAGGUUUUAGACGAUAAUGAUAAAAACGAAAAAACUGAAGAAAAGAAACCUAAGGACAAUGUUGAAAUGGAGAAGAAGUUAUUGGACGCAAUGGGGGAGAUAAAUCUACUUCAAUCCAAACUUUCUGUGAUGGAAAGGUAUGCUAGCAUCCUGCACAGCUCUAUCUUUGGGAGACCUUUUCAAGAGCAAGACAUUCCUGCCUCACUGCAGAGCGGAGGCGCAUUUGACAUCGCAAAGGAGUGGGAAAACAUGUUGGAGUCAUCAGAUCGUGGCAAGCUCGUGAGGUUAGAGAUGUUUUACCGCAACAUGCUUGCUGGUGUCAAGGAUAACAUUUUGAAGAAACGGAUCAAGGAGAUUGUUGUAGACUGCCUUGGCUCCUCUCGGUAAAGGAAUGACACAAUAUGUUUGGCUACAAUCUUUAAGGGGAUUGUUGGGCGGAGGCCGGUGAAGGGUCAACCCCAGUACUCAGACUCUAGAAAAUGUGGUGGUAUAUAAGGAAAUGAAGUUGCGCCUUCGUUGUAAGUAUAACUUUUGACGUAGUGAAAUUAGAUGAUUGAAUUGAAAGAAAGAUGAUACUGAUCUGAUCGAGUGUCCAAUAUAAUGUGACAAUCAAUGGUAACGCAAAAAACAUAUGUGAUAGUGGCAAAAACUCAAAAGGCAACCAACAAAGGAGAAGGUGACAUCUGAUACCAGGCAAGACAAUAAAAUGGCAGAGAAACUCAUGAAAGGUUCCUAGUUGCAUUGUUGUGCUAUCCAUAUCAUUGAAGUAUAACUAUGCUCUUUGUCUCACAAAAGAUGUUUACAUUCCGUUUUAAACAAAACAGAAAGAAUAAGGAAAAGUAUGUACUUAUUAUUA